RNAcentral lists this long non-coding RNA (544 nucleotides) under Mus caroli (Ryukyu mouse). RNAcentral's name for it is "cyclin dependent kinase 19, opposite strand (MGP_CAROLIEiJ_G0002500.1)". Lineage: Eukaryota; Metazoa; Chordata; Mammalia; Rodentia; Muridae. The record is from RNAcentral.
GGCGCUGCGCCGAUUGGAAGUUCCACCACGACCGUCACCAGCACAGGGCCAAACCGAGAAACCGGGACGCGGGGGCCGCCGCCACUCAGUCCCUCCUCCGCCGCCGCCGCUCCACUUCUCCAACAGCCGUCGCUCGGGCGCGCGCGCGCCGCCCGCCGCUCCGCGGUCCGCCUUCAGCAAGGGACUCCUCGGCGGCCGCGGCAGCCACCUCCUCCGCCUCCUCCUCCUCCGCGGCGGCGGCGGCGGCUCCCGCAGGCAUCCACAGUCCCGCCUCCUCCCUUCAUUUCCUUGUUUUGGAACCUGGUGGGCCGCGCCGCGGCUUUCUCGAACUCAUUAAGGAACCAAGCAGCCCGCCCCAAGGUCUCAAGCCAUUCUGGGAAAUGUAGUUCAAGUGGGCUCGUGAGUUGUGCUACCUCCUCGGGAGCGGGGAAUACAGUUCCCAGAGUUCCUGGGGCCUUUUGGGCCACGCCUCCACAAGGCAUGUACGCCUGCGCACUGCCGCCGCCCCACCCCCUCAGGUAGCGCGCGACUGCUGUUCCUGUAA